UACAGAGGCGGCAAGCGUUGUUCGGAUUUACUGGGCGUAAAGGGUGCGUAGGUGGCGCAAUAAGUCGGGCGUGAAAUCCCAUGGCUCAACCAUGGAACUGCGUCUGAAACUGCUGCGCUAGAGUGCAGAAGAGGAUAGCGGAAUUCUUGGUGUAGCGGUGAAAUGCGUUGAUAUCAAGAAGAACGCCGGUGGCGAAGGCGGCUAUCUGGGAUGCAACUGACACUGAGGCACGAAAGCUGGGGGAG
This 245-nucleotide ribosomal RNA is filed under the name uncultured bacterium. RNAcentral's name for it is "partial 16S ribosomal RNA". It matches the Rfam family "Bacterial small subunit ribosomal RNA", at positions 524 to 768 of the family's 1533-position model. The record is from RNAcentral.